This is a long non-coding RNA of Pundamilia nyererei, 822 nucleotides long. RefSeq lists it as uncharacterized. The record is from RefSeq and is a predicted model, not a curated record. The transcript is spliced from 4 exons. Lineage: Eukaryota; Metazoa; Chordata; Actinopteri; Cichliformes; Cichlidae.
UGGGGAACAUGAGAGCCAGACCACAGCUCAGAGGAACCAACCUGGACCUGAACCCAGCUGUCCAUCCUUAAAGAGCGACCGGUCCAAGGGUCUCAUUACAAAAUUUAAACAAAGACAGUCAAAUGAUAAAAUAAUCCAUCAGAAAAUCAAAUGUGGACCUGAACCAACCUGUUCAUCUUUAAUGAGCAACAGCUCAAAGGAUUUUGAGGUUCAUUUUAACGGACAACGUUCUCCUGCAGUGAGUGUGGGCCAGGAGUUCCUGGAGGUUCCCCGUGGUCAGUCUGCCCAGCAGCAUAAAAUACAGUUGAAAUCCAUAUUUGUGGUCUGUACAUGUACAACAACUCCUUUUACAUUUGUUCUAUUCAAAACCAUCUGCAUGUUACACAUUGUAGGCCAGUGAAUUGUCUUAGUGUCCAACAUGGAUAUGAUGUUUGGCUCCAUGAAUUCAGUCCAACUGAGUCAUUCAUAUAGUAUUCUGAUCAAUCACAAUCACUUAGGUAGAAGGACAGGUACUAAAAUAGUGUUUGGUGAAAGUUGAUGUUGGGUCUGUGCUUCCACAGGCCCCGCUGGUUUAGAAACUUAUUCUCGUUAACGAAAGAAACUGGACAAUCAGCGAUCGAUCGAUUUUACUUGCUAGCAAGGGAGGCCCCGGUCGGUGUCUCAGAAAAGCGCUCUGAAUCCAACCGCAGACUGACCCCACCUUAGGCCUCCGCUUGCCGCCUUUUAUUGAAAACAGUUACAGUACACAGAAGCACCUCCCAUUGUAAAACCCCCCAAUGGUUACAAAAGAUAAGGCACCUCUGUGUGUAUGUGUGUGCACAU